Molecule: long non-coding RNA, 855 nt
Filed under: Olea europaea subsp. europaea
Lineage: Eukaryota; Viridiplantae; Streptophyta; Magnoliopsida; Lamiales; Oleaceae
Source: RNAcentral
CGCGGAUUAAAAUCGAACCAAACCGCAAAUUAUGGUUUGGUUUUGUUUAGUUCGAAAAAUAAAAUAGUUUGGUUUGGUUUGAAAAAAUUUCAAAAAGCGUAAAAUGGUUUGAAUUGAAAAUAUAACACAAAUCGCCCAAAUCAAACCGCGUUCACCCUACGGUGCGGUGGUCUACUUCCCUCCUAGGCGAAAGUUUCUUUGAUAACUCCGUAGGCAUAAUGUCCUUAUUUUCCUUGAGGACUUUUGCAAUAGCUGCCAGCAAGACAUCAUCAUUACUAGAGGCUUUGGCCACAACAGACAAUCGAGCAAUAAAUGUCGGCUCACCCUUCUUCCAUCUUUUCGCUCAUUGCAUAGUCAAAAGUUGUCCCGCUUGCGUUCCCAUGAAAAUGGUAGGAAUCAUGCAUGACGAUCCCUUCUCCAAAAUGCACAUAGAACCAAAGGAAGGUAUAGGAAUUACAUUAACCUUCCUCAAGAAAUCCAAGCCCAACACUAGCUUGAAAUCAUCCAUCGAUGCAAUGAAAAUAUCAACGGGUCCAUGCCACGAACCCAACCAUAGUUCAGCCUCUCAAACUACACCAGCUAAUGACCUUGCAGUUGCAUUCACCGUCUUCAACAAUCCACCUCCAUGGUGAACGUUCAAUCCUCACCACUGCGCUUCGUGUUGAAGGUGUGUGUGGCUCCGGUAUCAACUAAUGCCCGUGUUUACCGUCCAUUGAUUUCGUCCAUACAUAUCUUCUUCCAUCCAAUGCCUUGUCAAUGUUGUAAUUCUACACAUCUUCAUCAGCUCCCAUCAGUUCUCUAAGUAUCAACACUCACUAAAUUCUUAAACUCCUUGAAUUCUAGUUCGCACAACAC